GACGAACGCUGGCGGCAUGCCUAAUACAUGCAAGUCGAACGCUGAAGCACCCUGCUUGCAGAGUGCGGAUGAGUGGCGAACGGGUGAGUAACACGUGGGGAAUCUGCCUAUAAGUGGGGGAUAACAUUCGGAAACGGAUGCUAAUACCGCAUAUAUUCUUGGACCGCCUGGUCCUUGAAAGAAAGACGGCUUUGCUGUCGCUUAUAGAUGAUCCCGCGGCGUAUUAGUUAGUUGGUGGGGUAAAGGCCUACCAAGACAAUGAUACGUAGCCGACCUGAGAGGGUGAUCGGCCACACUGGAACUGAGACACGGCCCAGACUCCUACGGGAGGCAGCAGUAGGGAAUCUUCCACAAUGGGCGAAAGCCUGAUGGAGCAAUGCCGCGUGAAUGAAGAAGGUCUUCGGAUCGUAAAGUUCUGUUAUUAGAGAAGAACAAGUCAAGGAAUAACUGUCUUGACUUUGACGGUACCUAACCAGAAAGUCACGGCUAACUACGUG
This 497-nucleotide ribosomal RNA is filed under the name uncultured bacterium. RNAcentral describes it as "partial 16S ribosomal RNA". It matches the Rfam family "Bacterial small subunit ribosomal RNA", at positions 28 to 507 of the family's 1533-position model. The record is from RNAcentral.